This 253-nucleotide ribosomal RNA is filed under the name uncultured bacterium. Its description in RNAcentral is "partial 16S ribosomal RNA". It matches the Rfam family "Bacterial small subunit ribosomal RNA", at positions 524 to 776 of the family's 1533-position model. The record is from RNAcentral.
UACGUAGGGCGCAAGCGUUGUCCGGAAUUAUUGGGCGUAAAGAGCUCGUAGGCGGUCUGUCGCGUCGGAUGUGAAAGCCCGGGGCUUAACCCCGGGUCUGCAUUCGAUACGGGCAGACUAGAGUGUGGUAGGGGAGAUCGGAAUUCCUGGUGUAGCGGUGAAAUGCGCAGAUAUCAGGAGGAACACCGAUGGCGAAGGCAGUUCUCUGGGCCGUAACUGACGCUGAGGAGCGAAAGCGUGGGGAGCGAACAGG